Long non-coding RNA from Macrobrachium nipponense, 1578 nucleotides. RefSeq lists it as uncharacterized. The transcript has 2 exons. Lineage: Eukaryota; Metazoa; Arthropoda; Malacostraca; Decapoda; Palaemonidae. The record is from RefSeq and is a predicted model, not a curated record.
GCCGUUGGUGUUCCGUAGAAAGAGGACAGUUGGUUGUCGGCUGCUGAGCUCUUGUCGAAAUUCAGACUCUGUCAAGAAUGGAUCCCUCAGCCCCCUGGCCCUGGAUCGUCAUUUCGAUUUCGGUGGUCGUGGGUGAGACGGGAGAUGAUGACGAAGGAGAAUGAAGGCGAGAAGACGGAGAUGAGUGACAAAUAAUCCAAGAAAUCUCAGAGGUAAAACUCAACGCUGCGAUGCCUGACAGCGGUAAUCAACAACGAGCCACCAACCGCUCGUGGGAUCAUCGCCACUAGUGAUGACGUCAUUCUCACAAUUCAUGACGUCACGGCGUUGUUCCUCAGCGUCAUUGUGAUUUAAUCUUUCUCCACCAGACUCGAAUCACGACUUGAAAAGAUAAUCCCUUUUCCUGGUCUUCAAUCAAGAGCAAUCUUGAUGGAAGAGCAAAGCACGAACGAAGAGAAGAGAGGAAUACAUAUUCAGACAAAUAAAGUACAAUAGGAAAAGAUUAAUGUUUUGAGGGAAGGAAGAAAUAUGGAAGGCAGGCGAAACUUUGAGCUUUCUGAUCUGCUGUGCAAUUUGCAAAAACGAGGACUUAGCUCUUUAGAGGAAUGGUAUUAGAGGUUUGAAAUGCCUGAAUGACACUUGUCAGGUUACUUCUUCCCGCGCUUAGGGCCCGGUCUAAAAAAUGUUAAGUUGUCAGUCCCACUGGCAUUAGUAAAAAAUAGUAAAAAAUGGAUCCCCCGAAGCAGAAAAACCCAGUUUUUGGGGAUUCAUGCCAAAGUUCUAUAUUCUAUAUUGAAACAUUUAGAUAUUAUCUCUUAUACAUGUAUGAAAAUAGGACUAGUUCUACAAAUGACGGGACUUCUCAAGCAGCAGAUAUCAGAUUAAGAUAUUGGAUAGUUUUGUUAGAGACUAUUCAUGGUUUUGCGAUGAGAACUAUUUUACAAAGGGAAACUGAACAUACGUGAAAUAAUCCUUUUGAAAUCCACAUAAAGAGGACAUGUUAGAAGUGACCAUUUGAACAGAGGAUAAUAUUACCAAACGCUAAAAAGAUUUAAUAUUGCAUAAUCUAAUGUCACAGCUCCUUUGACCAUGGACGAAUGUAAGGAGGAAUUCAGAUUUAAUAUUAAAGAUUGAUUAUUGAUUUUGUUGAAUGAUGUAAAUGAUGAGUUCGUGGAAAUAAUGGUACUGUGAGAUGACAACACUAUUCAGAGGGCCGUUUAAAACCAGAUUUUAAAGGCGAGUGCAUCUGAAUUAGAAUUCAUAAUCAUCUUAGAAUCUGGUCGAACCUUCUUAAGACCAGAGACCAUUCUUCCUCGAGAUUUCCUUUUAUUCACGCAGAAAAAUGACUCCUUUGGAUACAUAAUCUUUGUCCAACAUGAUUCACGGACAUUGAAAAUAUAGGUCAUGCCUCACUGGUUAUGUUAUGUGACUUUCAUAUUUAAAGAAAAAAUUGGGAAUUGUCUCCUACAGAAUACUGUAUUCAAAUACAGUUUAUGGAAGACCAAAAGCAUUCCAUAAAUUCUCAGGUGUAACUGAUCUCAAAUAUGUAAAAUUAAGAAUAAAGAUAUUUUAUACGAA